UUCAGAGGGAAGAAUAGAACAGAAUUUCCCAGCCUAGAACAUAAACAUGCUGUCAGAUGCCUGGAAAUCCUGCUUGGCUGUCAAAGACCAGUUCACUUGCCUGCUCUUCUAUGAGGUUCCUGAACCGGCUAAGCAAAACAAGUCUGUCUCAUCCUUUCUUUCUGGGACCUCUGAGAGGGUCUGGAAUUAGGGUUCAGGUACCAUCCAUCUGUUACGUGCUUUGAAGAUGCCACUCCAUCUGUGGGAUUCAAUUUACAUAAACUGAAGACUAUUCUUCUGAGUUGAAGUGAGGAGAGGCAUCAAUCACACUGGAAAAUUAUUUGAUCUCCUGGAAGCAAAAAGUCCACCAUGAAGUUGUUCUUGCCAUGGACUUCUAGAGGAGCUGACUGUCCUUUGGGAAGCUACAAAUACAGCCUUAAAAUCUGUUAGCAGGGAAGAGAGGCUUUUUCUGAGUGAUCAG
RNAcentral lists this long non-coding RNA (460 nucleotides) under Homo sapiens (human). RNAcentral's name for it is "HSALNT0018433". The record is from RNAcentral. Lineage: Eukaryota; Metazoa; Chordata; Mammalia; Primates; Hominidae.